GAGAAAUUCAACAAGUUUCUUUAAAUGGCAAACAAAACAACCUAAUGAUUCUUGCAAUAUCAUGAUCAAAUGCUAUUAUUAAUUCCACAAUCCUGCAAGGAAAAAAAAAAAACAUUAAAUCGCUUUGAGUCUCAAAUUAAACUUAAACAUCAAAAUGGUUUCCACUAGCAAGCCAAGUUGAUUGAAAGUAAUGAUCUGUAAAAGCAAAACUUAUUCAACUCU
This 222-nucleotide unclassified non-coding RNA is filed under the name Hevea brasiliensis (rubber tree). Lineage: Eukaryota; Viridiplantae; Streptophyta; Magnoliopsida; Malpighiales; Euphorbiaceae. The record is from RNAcentral.